Molecule: ribosomal RNA, 460 nt
Filed under: uncultured bacterium
Lineage: Bacteria
Description: partial 16S ribosomal RNA
Rfam family: Bacterial small subunit ribosomal RNA
Source: RNAcentral
CCUACGGGGGGCAGCAGUGAGGAAUAUUGGUCAAUGGACGAGAGUCUGAACCAGCCAAGUAGCGUGAAGGAUGACUGCCCUAUGGGUUGUAAACGUCUUUUAUAUGGGAAUAAAAUGUUCCACGUGUGGGAUUUUGUAUGUACCAUAUGAAUAAGGAUCGGCUAACUCCGUGCCAGCAGCCGCGGUAAUACGGAGGAUCCGAGCGUUAUCCUGAUUUAUUGGGUUUAAAGGGAGCGUGGGUGGAUUGUUAAGUCAGUUGUGAAAGUUUGCGGCUCAACCGUAAAAUUGCAGUUGAAACUGGCAGUCUUGAGUACAGUAGAGGUGGGCGGAAUUCGUGGUGUAGCGGUGAAAUGCUUAGAUAUCACGAAGAACUCCGAUUGCGAAGGCAGCUCACUGGACUGCAACUGACACUGAGGCUCGAAAGUGUGGGUAUCGAACAGGAUUAGAUACCCCAGUAGUC